CCUCUGUGUGGGUCGUGGCUGACAUUGACCGGGCUGCGGCAGACAGUGAUGCGUGGGGUAUCCUAGACAACAGCAUCAGUAAUAUGGGUCCUGGUGGACAGUGUCACAACAUCACCUUCAUCUGUACUAAGACAGACAACAUCAACACAGAAGAUUAUAUGCUUGAAUUGAACGAUGAAGACCUUCACAUAGAGGACUCUAACUAUUCAGAGGAGCAGAAACGUGCAUGCAUAUUGCACUGAAAUCAACAUGCCAAGAUGGAAAUUCAAGAGAAUUACAGCAACCCG
Salmo salar (Atlantic salmon) is the source of this 287-nucleotide non-coding RNA. The record is from RefSeq and is a predicted model, not a curated record. NCBI's taxonomy places the organism in Eukaryota, Metazoa, Chordata, Actinopteri, Salmoniformes, Salmonidae.